This 301-nucleotide ribosomal RNA is filed under the name uncultured bacterium. RNAcentral's name for it is "partial 16S ribosomal RNA". It matches the Rfam family "Bacterial small subunit ribosomal RNA", at positions 509 to 807 of the family's 1533-position model. The record is from RNAcentral.
CAGUAGCCGCGGUAAUACGAAGGGGGCUAGCGUUGCUCGGAAUCACUGGGCGUAAAGGGCGCGUAGGCGGCGUUUUAAGUCGGGGGUGAAAGCCUGUGGCUCAACCACAGAAUGGCCUUCGAUACUGGGACGCUUGAGUAUGGUAGAGGUUGGUGGAACUGCGAGUGUAGAGGUGAAAUUCGUAGAUAUUCGCAAGAACACCGGUGGCGAAGGCGGCCAACUGGACCAUUACUGACGCUGAGGCGCGAAAGCGUGGGGAGCAAACAGGAUUAGAUACCCCCGUAGUCCCUGUCUCUUAUAC